RNAcentral lists this ribosomal RNA (497 nucleotides) under uncultured bacterium. RNAcentral describes it as "partial 16S ribosomal RNA". It matches the Rfam family "Bacterial small subunit ribosomal RNA", at positions 28 to 507 of the family's 1533-position model. The record is from RNAcentral.
GAUGAACGCUGGCGGCGUGCCUAAUACAUGCAAGUCGAGCGAACGGACGAUAAUCUUUCUUCUCUGAUUUUAGCGGCUGACGGGUGAGUAACACGUGGAUAACCUACCUAUAAGACUUGUAUAACUUCGGGAAACCGGAGCUAAUACCGGAUAAUAUUUUGAACCGCAUGGUUCAAAAGUGAAAUACGUUCUUUCUGUCACUUAUAGAUGGAUCCGCGCUGCAUUAGCUAGUUGGUAAGGUAACGGCUUACCAAGGCAACGAUGCAUAGCCGACCUGAGAGGGUGAUCGGCCACACUGGAACUGAGACACGGUACAGACUCCUACGGGAGGCAGCAGUAGGGAAUCUUCCGCAAUGGGCGAAAGCAUGACGGAGCAACGGGGCGUGAGUGAUGAAGGUCUUCGGAUCGUAAAACUCUGUUAUUAGGGAAGAACAUAAGUGUAAGUAACUGUGCACAUAUUGACGGUACCUAAUAAGAAAGGAACGGCUAACUACGUG